GGGCAACUUGAUUUGAAUGAUUAAUGUAAUCAUCAAAGCUCAUAUCAGGUUGGCCCACAGCCCUACAUUCGAUAUCUACUGGCUCUUCACAGAUCUCUUUUCCAUUUUCAGCUAUGUUUUUAUAAGUCUCCAAGUCAUCCCAUCCUCCUACUGCAGGAUUAUAUACAUUAAACCAGUCAGACCACCAACAUAUCAUACAAAAUGUUGUAGUAGAGGAUUCUGUCAUAGUUGUCGGUGUAGGGGUAGAUGAUGUGGUAGGUCCUGGUGUUGUUGUAGUAGACGUUGUAGUAGUUGUCGGUGCAGGGGUAGAUGAUGUAGUAGGUUCUGGUGUUGUAGUAGUAUACAUUGUAGUAGUUGUCGGCGUAGCGGUAGAUGAUGUGGUAGGUUCUGGUGUUGUAGUAGACUUUGUUGUAGUUGUUGGUAUAGUAGAUGAUGUGGUAUGUUCUGGUGUUGUUGUAGUAGGUAUAGUAGUUGUCAGUGUUGGAGUAGAUGAUGUGGUAGGUUCUGGUGUUGUUGUAGUAGAUGUAGUAGUUGUCGGUGUAGGGGUAGAUGAUGUGGUAGGUUCUGGUGUUGUAGUAGUAGACUUUGUUGUGGUAGAUAAUGUGGUAGGUUCUGGUGAUGUUGUAGUAGAUGCUGUAGUAGUAGUCGGUGUAGGAGUAGAUGAUGUUGUAGGUUCUGGUGUUGUAGUAGGCUUUGUGGUAGUUGUCGGUGUAGGGGUAGAUGAUGUGGUAGGUUCUGGUGUUGUUGUAGUAGUCUUUGUUGUGGUAGAUGAUGUGGUAGGUUCUGGUGUUGUAGUAGACUUUGUUGUAGUUGUUGGUAUAGUAGAUGAUGUGGUAUGUUCUGGUGUUGUUGUAGUAGGUAUAGUAGUUGUCAGUGUUGGAGUAGAUGAUGUGGUAGGUUCUGGUGUUGUAGUAGUAGUUGUAGUAGUUGCUUUGUGGUAGUUGUCGGUGUAGGAGUAGAUGAUGUGGUAGGUUCUGGUGUUGUAGUAGACUUUGUGGUAGUUGUUGGUGUAGGAGUAGGUGAUGUGGUAGGUUCUGGUGUAGUUGGUGUACAUUCCUCCACACAGAUUUGAUUUUGCUCAUCAAAAAUAGGCUUAUCCUCUGGACAUUUUGGAUAACAACCUGUAUAAAACAAUAAAUAAAUACAUAUGUAAAUAUAGUUGCA
Long non-coding RNA from Cyprinus carpio (common carp), 1164 nucleotides. NCBI's taxonomy places the organism in Eukaryota, Metazoa, Chordata, Actinopteri, Cypriniformes, Cyprinidae. The record is from Ensembl.